CCCCACCCUCCCGCUUUCGCAUCUUCCAUCUUGGUUUACCCUAGCAGUCGCUCUAAGCUUUCUCAUCCUACUGAUAGUAUUUUAGGCGAACUCGCUUGCAGCACCCGCUUCUCGGGUCUGGUUCUAGUUCUUCGUUGCUGUGCCAGUGCCAUCUAAACAAUGCCAUGGGCCGACCAGUCCGUCACAUCCACUGCUACAACUUCGAGUAAAGCUAAAGAAAACUCAUAGUUACUGUGUGAUUUCGGCCUCCUAGGUAAAUGGGUUUCUUAUUUUACUCUUCUUUUACUUGAACUUGUUGAAUCGUGGUUGUUGGUAUUAAGUGGGUUCCAUGAAUGUGCAGGAUACUAUACGAUUUCGGCCUGUUAUGUAAAUGGAUUUCUUCUUUUACUCUUCUUUUCUUUUAUGGCAUUUUAUGAUUAUUUUUUCUUGGUUUUGAUUUCGUUCAUUUUUGUAGGAGUAUUUUUCUCCUAUGGGCUGGUCACUCAAGAGGGACAUUGUAUGGUGUGUCUAGGGAGGCGGCUGUUGCGUUUGAGGAGGUGAUACGGGUUAGGGAUAUGGUGGAGAGAUAAAUCCUCUUAGUGAGUUAAUCGUUAAUUUUUGAAGCUGAUAUAUGUAGUUGAAAUUUAGCAUCAUUUGUUUAUAAAGUUCAUGUGACAACGGAUAUGCUCUAGCUGGGAACUGUUAUAGGUG
This 690-nucleotide long non-coding RNA is filed under the name Olea europaea subsp. europaea. Lineage: Eukaryota; Viridiplantae; Streptophyta; Magnoliopsida; Lamiales; Oleaceae. The record is from RNAcentral.